This 26-nucleotide non-coding RNA is filed under the name Cricetulus griseus (Chinese hamster). RNAcentral also lists the same sequence under 2 other names. Lineage: Eukaryota; Metazoa; Chordata; Mammalia; Rodentia; Cricetidae. The record is from RNAcentral.
GUCAGUUACAGAUUGAACUCCUGUUC